UCGCUCGCGGCCCUGACAGGAGCGGCAUCCCUGAGUGGGUGGAACCAGCCCCUCUCACCUGCCUCUCAGAGGCUGGCGGUUCCCCUCGGCACCCCGCUUCUCUCUCUCCGUGAGGCACAUCAUCCGGGAACACCCGCGCCCAAAGCCAGUGACUUGAGGACGCCGUCAUUCAAAUCGUGUUCUUCCUCCUGGACAGACACAGAGGAGGAGGGAGUGCGCGUGCGCUCGUGAAAAUGCUUCUAUGUUCUGAGACGGUCUGUGAGGUCAUUUUAUAAGCAUAGAGGCUUUUACCUACGCAGGAUGAAGAUGAAGGGACCAUGGAUAUUUUGGUCGAGUCCAUGUCGUCAGUCAGCUGAUAAAGGCAUUUCUACAGGAGACAGAAUGUCAUUGUCAAAUUCUAAAUCUUGGGACUACGAUGGAGACCACCUUCUGGAGAUUAAAGAUGUAUUCAUUUAUUUGAGAGAGAGGGAGGGAGAAUGAGCGAGGAGG
Mustela erminea (ermine) is the source of this 489-nucleotide long non-coding RNA. RefSeq lists it as uncharacterized. The record is from RefSeq and is a predicted model, not a curated record. The transcript is spliced from 4 exons. Lineage: Eukaryota; Metazoa; Chordata; Mammalia; Carnivora; Mustelidae.